Molecule: ribosomal RNA, 121 nt
Filed under: [Torrubiella] hemipterigena
Lineage: Eukaryota; Fungi; Ascomycota; Sordariomycetes; Hypocreales; Clavicipitaceae
Source: RNAcentral
ACAUACGGCCAUAGGUAGUGGAAAAUUCAGGAUCCCGUCUGCUCUCCGUUAGACAAGCCACUGACCGGCAGAUUAGUAGUUGGGGUCGGUGAUGACCAGCGAACAACAGCUGUUGUAUGUU